UGAGAAACCGUCCCUCUCAAGCAUGACUGGAACUGUAGUGGCUUCCGGGGAGAAUGUGAAGUUACAAUGUUUCUCAACACUCAAGUUUGAAGCAUUUAUUCUUAGCAAAGAAGAUGGAGAUCGCAUCAUCCAGAACCAAUUCAUCAGACACCAGGGUGGUAAUCACGAGGCUGUCUUCCUUUUGAAUCAAGUCUCCUCCACACAAACUGGGACCUACAGAUGCUACGGACUCUUUGAACGUGACCCCUAUGUGUGGUCUCACCCCAGUGACCCAUUGCAUCUUCAGGUCAGAGAAACUCCUGACCAUCGAGACCCUAUGAAUCCCCAACAUUCAACUGAUGUCAUUCAUCAUUGAUCCACAUUUCCAAUAUUCCUGAGAGUGUCUAGGAUGCUACGGUGUCUUCAGCAAUGCCCUCUAUGUGUGGUCUCACCCCAGUGACCGGUUGCAGCUUCCGGACAGAGGUGAGGAACCCUCAGCCCAUCCAUUCUCAUGUCCCCUCCUGGAGACUGGCAGUGUCCAGCUAAAGC
This is an RNA transcript of Equus quagga, 528 nucleotides long. It is a transcript of the gene named leukocyte immunoglobulin-like receptor subfamily A member 3, with no coding region annotated. The record is from RefSeq and is a predicted model, not a curated record. Lineage: Eukaryota; Metazoa; Chordata; Mammalia; Perissodactyla; Equidae. The transcript has 3 exons.